Molecule: ribosomal RNA, 465 nt
Filed under: uncultured bacterium
Lineage: Bacteria
Description: partial 16S ribosomal RNA
Rfam family: Bacterial small subunit ribosomal RNA
Source: RNAcentral
GACGAACGCUGGCGGCGUGCUUAACACAUGCAAGUCGAACGGAAAGGCCCUGCUUGCAGGGUACUCGAGUGGCGAACGGGUGAGUAACACGUGGGUGAUCUGCCCUGCACUUCGGGAUAAGCUUGGGAAACUGGGUCUAAUACCGGAUAGGAACCAUCUUUAGUGUGGUGGUUGGAAAGUUUUUUCGGUGUAGGAUGAGCUCGCGGCCUAUCAGCUUGUUGGUGGGGUAAUGGCCUACCAAGGCGGCGACGGGUAGCCGGCCUGAGAGGGUGUACGGCCACAUUGGGACUGAGAUACGGCCCAGACUCCUACGGGAGGCAGCAGUGGGGAAUAUUGCACAAUGGGCGCAAGCCUGAUGCAGCGACGCCGCGUGGGGGAUGAAGGCCUUCGGGUUGUAAACUCCUUUCGCUAGGGACGAAGCUUUGUUGUGACGGUACCGAGAUAAGAAGCACCGGCUAACUACGU